GAUGAACGCUGGCGGCGUGCCUAAUACAUGCAAGUCGAGCGAACGGACGAGAAGCUUGCUCCUCUGCUGUUAGCGGCGGACGGGUGAGUAACACGUGGAUAACCUACCUAUAAGACUGGGAUAACUUCGGGAAACCGGAGCUACUACCACAUAAUAUUUUGAACCGCAUGGAUCAAAAGUGAAAGACGGUUUUGCUGUCACUUAUAGAUGGAUCCGCGCUGCAUUAGCUAGUUGGUAAGGUAACGGCUUACCAAGGCAACGAUGCAUAGCCGACCUGAGAGGGUGAUCGGCCACACUGGAACUGAGACACGGUCCAGACUCCUACGGGAGGCAGCAGUAGGGAAUCUUGCGCAAUGGGCGAAAGCCUGACGGAGCAACGCCGCGUGAGUGAUGAAGGUCUUCGGAUCGUAAAACUCUGUUAUUAGGGAAGAACAGAUGUGUAUGUAACUGUGCACAUCUUGACGGUACCUAAUCAGAAAGCCACGGCUAACUACGUG
This 497-nucleotide ribosomal RNA is filed under the name uncultured bacterium. RNAcentral describes it as "partial 16S ribosomal RNA". It matches the Rfam family "Bacterial small subunit ribosomal RNA", at positions 28 to 507 of the family's 1533-position model. The record is from RNAcentral.